UGAUCAUGGCUCAGAGCGAACGCUGGCGGCAGGCCUAACACAUGCAAGUCGAACGGACCCUUCGGGGUUAGUGGCGGACGGGUGAGUAACACGUGGGAACGUGCCUUUAGGUUCGGAAUAGCUCCUGGAAACGGGUGGUAAUGCCGAAUGUGCCCUUCGGGGGAAAGAUUUAUCGCCUUUAGAGCGGCCCGCGUCUGAUUAGCUAGUUGGUGGGGUAAUGGCCCACCAAGGCUACGAUCAGUAGCUGGUCUGAGAGGAUGACCAGCCACAUUGGGACUGAGACACGGCCCAAACUCCUACGGGAGGCAGCAGUGGGGAAUCUUGCGCAAUGGGCGAAAGCCUGACGCAGCCAUGCCGCGUGUAUGAUGAAGGUCUUAGGAUUGUAAAAUACUUUCACCGGUGAAGAUAAUGACUGUAGCCGGAGAAGAAGCCCCGGCUAACUUCGUGC
RNAcentral lists this ribosomal RNA (448 nucleotides) under Brevundimonas diminuta. RNAcentral describes it as "bacterial SSU rRNA". It matches the Rfam family "Bacterial small subunit ribosomal RNA", at positions 14 to 508 of the family's 1533-position model. The record is from RNAcentral. Lineage: Bacteria; Pseudomonadati; Pseudomonadota; Alphaproteobacteria; Caulobacterales; Caulobacteraceae.